This is a microRNA precursor of Pan troglodytes (chimpanzee), 84 nucleotides long. It matches the Rfam family "mir-2114 microRNA precursor family". The record is from Rfam. Lineage: Eukaryota; Metazoa; Chordata; Mammalia; Primates; Hominidae.
UGCCUCCAUGCUCCUAGUCCCUUCCUUGAAGCGGUCGGAUAAUCACAUGACGAGCCUCAAGCAAGGGACUUCAAGCUGGUGGCU